AGAAGUCAUUAAUUCAAAUUCUUUAUUGUUGAAAAUUAUUUGAUAUCCUUUUAUUUUCUCAUUGAUAACUGCAAAUCUUUGAACCAUGAGCUUUAAGUGAACAUAAUGGCUUUUUGGAAUAUUAGUUUAGCACUUUCAACACCACAAUUUUGAACAGUGCUUGCAUUCGACAUUCACAUCACUUGCAAUAAGUCAUUUUCAUUUCAGAAAUGAAAAUCACUUGUUUUAUUUUAUAUUAAUUCUGGCAUGGUAUCAAAGGGCAUUUCAGGACAUUUUGAGAAAUGUUCCAAUCUAUAGUUCAUUAUUAUGUUCUUCCACAGUUUUAGAAUAUUAACAUUUACAGCAUUUAAGAGGAAUGUUAAGAAGCAGCACUUUGUUAGCACUCAUUCUGGAUGUUUUUUUCUCUCUCCAAUUUACAACUUUCAAUUCAAACACAGUAUCUUUAUAGAAAAGUGUACAUGUUACAAGUGUAUUGCUUGAUAAACUCACAAACUGAACACAUCCAUGUGAUUGGCACCCAGGUUGAGAAACAGAACAUACCAGCAUCCCAGAAGCCCCAACCCCCAUAUCUUUCAGUUAUUUGCUUCCCACUCAAGAGUAAUCAACAUCCUGGUUUUGUGCUUUACAUAAAUAGAACCAUAAAGUAUGUGGUUUUUUGUGUCUGGGUUCUUUUGCUCAACAUUAAGUUUUUGAGAUCAUCCGUAACUUUACAUGCAGUUAUACAUCUUUCAAUCUUAUUGUAUUCUAUUGUGUAGCAAUACCAUAAUUUGUCUAUUUGGAUUAUUACCAGGUUUGGAUAUUAUCAGUGGUGUUGCUAUAAAUACUCAGUGCUCUAACCAAUACGGUAGCUACUAGCCACGUGUAGGUCUUUAAUUUUAAAUAAAAUUAAACUGAAAAAUCGAUUCCUUAGCUGCAUUAACCACAUUUCAAGUGCCCAGUAGCCAUGUGGCUAGCAGCUACUUCAUGGAUAGCACAGAACAGGGUAUUCGCAUCACUGCAGCAAGUUCCACUGCACAGUGGUGACUUGUGUGUUGGUGAACAUAUGGAAUUGCUGGGUCAUAUGGUAUGCAUUGACAGCAGAUAAUGUCAAAUAAUUUUAAGAUGUUUGUUAUUAUUUUGUUACAAAUUUUUCUAUUUUAAAAAAUUAAACACUGUAUUUACUUUUCACCUAAGAAUUACAAUGCACUAAAAUAGUAAAACCAAAUAAAAAAUUAAACUAUACAGAAAGCAGUAGCAACUGUUAAAACAUGGAAUGAUUCAUAGAUAAGGCAUGAGGCAGCUACAUUAUUUACCAUGACAAAGGCCAAGAGAUGUUCCCAAUGUUUCUCAGAUGUCAUUACCACAGAAGGUCCAUUAUCAAUGGCAGUCACAGAUGAAGUAGUGAACUUACACUGGAAUUUUAAAAUUUUAUUAAUUUUGGUGCUAUUGCAGUUAUAGUACUACUACUUACCACUGGUACAGGAGAAUUUCAGUACUUUAACUGAGAGAGCAAAGCUGGAGUCUAUCAACUAAAUAUCAAAUCUGCUCAUAACCCCAACCAAUUAACACUGGAUAUCAUCAACCUUUUAUCAAGUUCUGACAAACUAACAAGUCAAUGUUGCUGUCGUCUAAACUGCAUUUAACCAUGAAUGAAUUUGUGUACCUGUACAUGUAUUUGUUGGUCCUUAUCAUUUCUCCCCUCUGAAGUUGCUCAUUUAUAUCUCUUGCCCAUUUAAAAUUGUUGAUUUAUAAAUACUUUUACUAUUAUAUACUAUGAUCGCCCAUGUAUAUCCUUUACCCAUUUCAAAUUACUAAUUUGUAAAUGUUCUUUUUAUAUUAAGGAAAUUAGCCUUUUGUCUACAGAAGUCUUACAAAUGUUCCCUCCCCCCCGACUUACAGUUUAUCUUUUCCUGUAGAACUGUUUUAAAUUAUAUGUAUUCAAGUUCUUAAUCUCUUCCAUUUUGGCUUUUGUAUUUUGUCAUGCUUUGAGAGUCUUACCUUUUCAAAGAGUAUAUGAAAAAUUAACUCCUGUUUUUUUUUUCUCCCUUUGUUUUCAAAAUAUUUGAUGUAUCUGUAACUUACUUUGGUUUAAGAAAUAAGGUACAGAGCCAGACUUGUAUUUUUCUAAGUGGCUAAUAAUGUUUUUGUCAGACACUACUAGUUACCUACCUGGCAUCCAUUCCCCUCACUAACAAAUUGUGAAUUUGUUUAGGGCAGUAAUGUGCCCAAUUAAAAUACUUUCCCAGACUCUCUUGCAGCAAGGGAUGGCCAAGUGAUUCAGUUCUGUCCUGAUAUAGGGCAAGUCACUGAAUGUGGCUUCCAGACAGAUUUUUAAAUAAAAGCAAUUUUGACUGACAUGGUCCAUUUGGCCUCUUAACCUUCACCUUUCUUUCUGGAAUCUACAUGUAAUAGCAGGAGGUGGAAGCAGCUAUCUUCAGAUAAGGAUGAAAGCGACCCACCAAAAACAGAAUAAAAAGAUAAAGGAAUUUGAGUCAUUAAUGACAUUAAGCUGCCAUAUUAACCCUGGAUUACAUACCCUUGGAUUACCUAUGUGAGAAAACCUAUUUACUGAAGCCAUUGAUCAUCGGGUUGUUUCUUGCAAACAAAUACAUUCCUAUCUGAUGCAUUUAUCUCCACUUAUUUAAUAAUUUAUCUUUUUAUACAAAUUUGGCAUGCUACGUUUAUCACAUACUAACUUCCUAUAUAUAAAUAUUUCUGGAAACCCUCUUGUUUCAUUGCUCUAAAUGACUUCAGUUUAAUAGCUAAUAUUUACUGAUUACUAGGACAAUUCUACAUGCUUUACAUUAAAUAACUCUAAUCCUCCCAACAGUCUUUUGAACCUUAAUUUAACAUUGAUGUAUAGCACUUGUAAGCCUAAAACUAAGAGUGGAUUUUUAAAAGUGGAAUAGAAAAGAUCAAAAGGAAAGGGAAUAAAGAUGUUUCAAUUAUCUGUAUGAUGGAUUAGGAUAGAAGACAACUACUAUGUUGCUAUCUAACUGGCAACACUGCUGUUCCAUUUUAUAAUGGAAAGAGCACCAGAUUUAGGGUUUGCAGACAUAAAUAAUUUUGCAGGUCAACAGCGCUAUUAGGCCACAUCCACAGCAUGUGAAAGUUCCUGGGCCAAAGGUCAAACCCGUGCCACAGCAGUGACCUGGACUGCUGUAGUGACAAUGCUUGAUCCUUAACCCACUGUGCCACAAGGGAAUUCCAACUCUGUUAUUUCACAUUACAGAAAAUGUCCCUGGCCCUGUGGAGCUUACACUAUAGUGGAGGAAUUUUUUAAAAAAAUCUAGACACUUAGAGUACUGCUACAAAUGAAAUAAGCAAUGACAUAAUACAUAUAACUGGAGCAUGGCUGGAUAGUUAAAGGAUUCAGGGAAAUUCUGCUGAACAAAUGGUUAUGAAAUCUGUAUAAUACAUACAGAAAAGUACAUAAAACAUACAGCUUAAUGAAUUUUUAAAAACCACCCACUGACUCUUUCCAAAUACAACUCUUUUCCAAAUACAACCCUUCCAUUAAAGAGUAAGCAUUUGGAGUUUCCACUGUGGCUCAGCAGUAACAAAUUCAACUAGCAUUCAUGAAGAUGCAGGUUUAAUCCCUGGCCUUGCUCAAUGGGUUAAGGAUCCAGCGUUGCUGUGAGCUGUGGUGCAGGCCAGCAGCUGCAGCUUCGAUCUGACCCCUAGCCUGGGAACUUCCAUAUGCUGAAGGUGCAGCCCUAAAAACAAAACAAGCAAAAAAAAAAAAAAAAAAAAAAAAAAAAAAAAAAAAAAGAAAGAAAAAAAAAGAAAAAGAAAGAGUAAAAGCAUCAACCUGACUUUAAUGAUGGUCACCUUCCUGCACCGUGGCUCUAAUCUUUCAUGUUCAUUGCAUAAGAUUCCACUGGAUAACUGUACCCACUUUACGCUGUUGGGUAUGCUAUGUCCAAUUUUUGGCUAUUACAAAACAUGUUACUAUGUCUCUUGCGGUAUGUACAUGCAUUUCUGUUUGGGGAUAUAUCAAAAGCAGAAUUGCAGACCAUGGUCUUAGUAUUUUUUUGGCAGGAGGGGCCUUUUUAGGGCUGCACCUGCAGCAUAUGGAGGUUCCCAGGCUAGGGCCAGAAUCAGAGCUACAGCUGCCAGCCUACGCCACAGCCACAGCAAGGCAGGAUCCAAGUUGUGUCUGUGACCUACAGCACAGCUCACUGCAACGCCAGAUCCCCGACCCACUGACCAAGGCCAGGGAUCGAACCCACAACCUCACAGUUCCUAGUCAGAUCUGUUUCCACUGUGCCACUACAGGAACUCCCCAUGGUCUUAGUAUUAAAAGCAUGUUUUAGUUACCAUAUUUCUUUUUUUUUUAGAGCCACACAAGCAGCAUGUGGAGGUUCCCAGACUAGGGGUCAAACUGUAGCUACAAGGUGCCAUCUUUCACCAAGGCCACAGCAACGCUAGGUCCAAGCCGCGUCUGUGACCUACACCACAGCUCAGAGCAACAUCAGGUCCUUAACCCACUGAGCAAGGCCAGGGAUCGAACUCGCAACCUCAUGGUUCC
This 4510-nucleotide long non-coding RNA is filed under the name Sus scrofa (pig). RNAcentral describes it as "lncRNA (ENSSSCG00000052716.1)". Lineage: Eukaryota; Metazoa; Chordata; Mammalia; Artiodactyla; Suidae. The record is from RNAcentral.